This 8340-nucleotide long non-coding RNA is filed under the name Hordeum vulgare. Its description in RNAcentral is "long non-coding RNA (HVUL_LNC007799)". Lineage: Eukaryota; Viridiplantae; Streptophyta; Magnoliopsida; Poales; Poaceae. The record is from RNAcentral.
CAGGGGCCAAGACCUGAGCGCCAAGCUCCUCGUCCUGGUGGCGUCGGCGGGGGUCCUGGAGGCGUCGGCGGCGGUCCCGGUGGUGUCGGCGUUGGUGCUGGUGGUGGUUACGGCGGCGGCGGUGCUGGCGGCGGUUACGGCGGCGGUGGUGCUGCCGGUGGUUACGGCGGCGGUGGUGCUGCCGGUGGCUUCGGCGCCGGUGCUCCAGCUCCCAACAUUGUUGGCGGCUGGCCCCAGAAUUAGCUUCCUAAAGUGCUCUGCUUUUGAUCAGUCUAUCGUAAUAUCUAGCAUGAUGCCAGUAUGUUCUGUCUAUGCUUCCAUGGCCGUAUGGUUUCUUAUUCGUCGCACUUUGACCGCCUAGAGAGAACCAUGUGUUGCUCUUUUAGUAUUUUCCUGGUAAACACUCAUGACUCCAGGUACUGGAUGAGUUCUACUACGUUGAAGGAGCUGUUAAGAGCACAAAUGUUGAUCUUUAUGUAGGAGAUCUACGUAUUUUUGGGCAUCGGGUUUGAACAUGGCUAUCUACUAUCUAUAAAUAUGUGUUUUCACUCGUCAUGCACCAUUUGCUUUUGUUGGUUGUGUCCAUGAAUGAGGGACGGUUAGUUUAUUUCAGAACUGCUGUUUCAGUUACCAUCAACUGCAACUUAGAUUCUAGUUUGGUGCUAUGUCAGUUUGUCUGCUCAUCACCCGGUGCAAUAUGUCUUAACUCAAAGGAAUUGUGGUGCGCCUGCUGUGGGUGGUAGCUUGUCUGCCGUAUGCUCAUUUUGACGCUGAGAUUGCCGCAUCCUUUUAGAGGAUAAGCCAACUAAUAAUUUUCACACUUGAAUACAUGAAAAUAAAAUCUGUUAUGGAUCCCUUUGCAUGUCCAUGCAGCUUCUGUUAGAAUCUGUAUUAGUGGAGUACGGUGGCAUUUAAAGCUUCACAAGUUUCUCUCCCACAAAAAAGACUACUAUUAAAUUCCAUAGCCAAAGUUACAUCAUACUAGACCCGAUUGGUGAUAUUUUUACAUAUUUGAAUUACACGUGGCAAGACCUUUAAGACAAGAAGUAUAUUGGAUGCAUUCCGACUAAUUUAUUUUACCGACUUCAAAUAACAUCUUUCACUCAAUUAAAAAAAGAUUUUUCCCAUAUCAAAAAAAUAUUUCACUCAAUUCGAAAUAAAAAUAAAAUCAUUUUAAAAACCACUCCUCUGAAACAAAUGAUUUAUCAUUCGAAUAAAAAAAUAUCACGCACUUACUAAAACUGAUUUUACUCUUUUUAAAAUUGGUUUUGCUAAUUAAAAACCGAUUUCACACAUUUUAAAUGACUCAUAAUAUUAGAAACAAUUUUUUACAUUAGAAACUAUUUAUAUAUUUUAAUUCAUGGCGAUAAGUCCCGUAAAACAAGACUGAUCUUGGAUGUAUUUUGAAUAGUUUGAAUUUUCUGUAUUUUCUUAUGUUAAUUCAAUUAAAUUUCACAAAAAACUAGCUUCACACAGUGAAACAAUCAAUUUAACAUAUUUCAAUAAAAUUAUUUCACCCAACUGUAUAAAACUAUUUCACUCAUUUUGAAAUGAUGAUUUAAAAAAAUCACGCAUUCCAAUUUAAACUAAUUUAACUAAAAAAGACAACAUUUCACUCAUUUCUAAAAAAUCAAAUAAUUCUGAAAAUAGAAUUGAUUUAUUUCUAAAGAAGGAUGUCACAAGAAGCGUUCAAUUUUACAGCAUGCAUUUCAAAAAUCAUGUUAAAUUGAACACACAUCGGAGUCACAAAUAGGCUAAAAACUACUUCAUAUAAUUGGAAAAUGUCAAUUUCAUUUGUUUGAAGCCACUAAUUUAACACUUUAACACAAUUAAUUUCACAUAUUUGAAAUAAACUAUUCCCCAUAUAUUUUUUAAACAAUUUUUUGGAAUGAAUGAAAUAUGCUUUUAUGUGUAAAAAAAAUACAUGUUUCACAGUUUUAUGAUUUCGCUCGUAAAUAUGGUCCAAUUGUGGUACUCUUUUGCAAUUAACUCAAAAACACUCAAUUCAAAAAAUGGAUAUGACCUAUUUAAAAAAGUGAUUUCAUUCAUCUCAACAUUCAUUAAAAAAACCGAUUUCACUCCUUUAAAAACUUGAUUUCGCUCAUUUUGAAACACCGAUUUUACUCAUUCAAACAAGAAUUUCACUCAUUAAAAACCUAAUUCCGCUCAUUUCAAAAAGUGGAUUUCACUCAUUUCAAGUAACAACUUUCACUGAAGCAUAUGUUGAUUAAAACAGUGAGAUUGAAGAAAUUGAUUUUACUCACUAAAAUAGUUGAGUGAAAGAAGUGGAUUGAAACAAUGAAAUUUAAAUGUGUUUGACAAUUUCCAGGAUUGAUCUUAUUCCAAAGGUCCUGGCAUGAGGAGUUCAAAUAUAUACAUAACUCAAAAAGAACAUUGCAGUUAAAAAGAUACGAAUGAUUGAAAUUGUCAAAAUGGGCACAUGUUUGUUCUCUCCAUGCCUUCAUCUACGUGAUAGAGAUAGGAGAGAGGGUAAUGUAUAGGUCAUGUACAAGAUAGGGCACAUUGGGUGAUUGGACUUAAACAUAUACGGAAAGGUAGAUAUACAACUAAAGUGGGUCCCUAGGCGCAUGGAUAUGAAUGCAUGUGUGUAGUCGAUUUUUCUAGAAAAAAAUGUGUAAUAGAUUUCUCACAUGUAUGUACCCUUGCCACUAGAAACAGGUGUCCAGAAGUGAUGCUCAUAGGGGGCAGGAUGCCACUAAUGGGACAUGAAAACCGUUAGUACCUUCGGUAAGGUACGGUAGUUAACGCGGCCAAAAAUACUAAAGUGUAGGUCAUGCGGGAAGUUACCCUGCUUUGGGCCUCCUUGGAGGAGUAACACCCUACGUCCCGCUUCUGGUUUGUAUUUAUGGUGGACUACCUCAUGCGAUUGUUAUAAUGCGGGGAUGAUAUGUGGCUACCGAGAGUGUGUUUCUACGAGAGUAUACGUGAAUAGAUGGCCUUAGCCCCACCUUAUAUAGAUGAUGAGUGCUACAGUUCUGCACAAGAUAGAUUCAAUUUGGCCAUGCCUCCAUCUGUACAUGCGUAUAAAGGUGAUCCUUCGAUGCCUAUCUGAGCCCCACGCCUCCUUUCUAUGGUUGGACCUUGGCCAAAUUUAAUGGGCCUUGAGACAUGCAUGAUGUUGAUCUCCUCACCCAGAGGCCACUCUAUCAAUAGCCUAGAGCAUAUCUGGAGUUGGAAUGUCUUGACCUCCCCAUUAUGUCUCUUCGGCAUGUUCUUAUGAGUUCGGCUUCAGGAAGGUCUUCAAGCCUUCUUGUCGUCCAGCUUCCUCGGGGGCUCUUCGUAGAUUCAGUGCGUCCAAUGAAACCUUAAGAAUUCGGGCCACCUGCCAGGCUUUGUAUUGCGCCGAGGCCUCGGGUUUGCGGUUUCUUGAGGCCUAUUGUCUUUCGUUGCCCUAGAGUGCAAGAGCUCGAGGGCCUGAUAUGUCUCAAACAUAUUUAUAAUUUUUAUUUUUUGAUGCUAUUAUAAUACCACUUUUCAAUACUUUUUAUAUCACUUUUAUUACUUUUUCAAGACUAACCUAUUAAUUAAAUGCCAGAGCCAAUUGUCGUUUUAUGCAUGUUUUUGAAUUUUCAUAAAAUGAAUAUCUAGAGAGAUUAAAAUACCAUAAUUUUUUCAAGUAUUAAAGAUUCCACAAAGUGUCUGGAGGGGGCAGGGGGCCACCCCUGGCCUCCAUGCAGUCAGGUGGUAUGGACAUGGGACCACCCAGGUGGUCCCCUAGAACCGUGUAAGUGUAACGUUGAUUACAUCCCCCAUAAAUCCCAUAUUCCCGAAAUCCUUUUUUUUCUGCCGUCACAAGUUCAUGUUCUGGGGAGAUCCAACCUGAAGGCCUGUUUCAACACCCUAUUUGAGGGGAAAUCCAUCACCGCGGCUAUCUUCAUCAACCUUGCCGCCACCAUAAAUAUAUGUGAGUAAUUUCCUUAGGACCUUCGUGUCGGUGUCAAAACCAGAAGAACUAGGGUAAGGGGGCCGAGCUAUGAGAUCGGACAAAUGGUAACAGGAGAGGAAGAACACAAGGCUUUUACCGAGGUUCCAACCCUCUUGAUGGAGGUUAAACCCUACGUCUUUCUCUUGUUGUAUUACUAUUGUAAAGAUUACAAAGUUGAUCUACCUCGAGAUUAUGGAUUUGUGGGCUAAACCCUAGGGGUUAUAAUAUUGUGUAUGUAUAUCCUUUAUGGCCUAAACCCCAUGGUUUAUAUAGCACGCGGGGUAUCUAGGGUUACAUAAAUGUAGGUUAUCAUCUAUAGCUUACAUGCCAAACGAAUCAGCCCUACAAGCCUUAAUAGAUGCCGGAGCAUCCACACUUCGUCAUUAGGCUUCCGAGGUCCUUCUCCAUUAUGGUCCCAAGCCCGGCCCAUGGAAUAACCCACCUCGGUUGGGCAAUCUAGUUGGUUUGGCCAACUAGAUUGAUCUAUCUUCAGUGGGAAAGGUGCGUUGUAGUGGGUUAAAUAUAACCAUGCUCAAUACCUGUGACAUAAAUGGACAUGACACUCAUUGUAUUGCUACCACUAAAGAUAAAACGUUGGGAUACAUUCAUAUUAAUUGGAUUUACUUUUUCUAAAUCAUGUCAUUGUCCUCCAAUCAUUACUCUGUUUUCACUUAGUACUCUAGAUGCAUGCUGGAUAACAGUUGACGAAAGGAGUAAUAGUAGUAGAUGCAGGCAAGAGUAGAUUUAUUUGUUUACGGACGUGAUGUGUAUACAUAAUGAUCACUAUAAUGAAUUAACAUUGCAUAACUGUCACUUUUCUAUCAAUUAUCCAACAGUAAUUUGUUUACCCACCGUAUGCUUUCUACAAGACAGAAGCCUCUAGCGAAAAAUAUGACCCCUUGGUCUAUUCACAAAUAUAUUCACAAAAACUCCAAUACAUCGCUGCCUUUUAUUAUUUGCAUGUACUUUUUAUAUUUAAUAUAUGCAAGCUAUCUGUCUAUCACUACUUAUCGCUUUCAAGUAACGAGUUCAUGGGGAUUGACAACCCUCUUACCUGGGUUGGGUGUAAAUGUGUGCUUUUUUGUGUGUAGGCGUUGAAGACGGGAGAUUGUAUGGUUUUUAUAUUGGUUCGAUAACCUUGGUUCUCACCAAGGGAAACACUUAUCUAUACUCUGUCGCACCAUCCCUUCUUCUUCGAAGAAAAAUCCAAAACAGAUCACAAGUACCAGUACCCUAUCAUACACCGUGGUCCUUGUAGGAAGGACCCAUCGUUUCUUACGGUUUCAUCUCUAACUAUGGAGUAGUUUAACACUAUCUUCGGAUAGUUUAACUUGUUUGUGCUUAUCACGACGGCUGAUUUUUGGCUUUAUCCACUAAAGCGUUUAACCAUCAAGAUGGAAGCACAAUCGUUGUACUUCUCCCUUUACAUUCUUAGCUAAACAAAGUAAAAGGUAAGAUGUAAGCACAGGAGCUGGGUAACCCAAUCCUUAACCAAAGUUAUAAUUCAAAACAUGUGCAUAUAACACACUAUCCGAGGUGCCGAACCAACAUCAGACUUAAACAUGGGAUCGUUUGUAAAUCUGAGCCCCGGUCUAGAGCCGGACUCUACUUGUAUGUGGGAGGGAACCACCUCACACAAAUUAUGAGUAGAAAACAACAUGCCAUUACUCCAAGCACUUCGAAGCGGUUGACGAGUGCCAAAGCGUAAAGGCAGUGAAUACGCCUUCAAUUAUACGCAUCUGAAGCUCGGUCGCGACGUGGACCGUCGAUCCAGGAACGAACAGUUCGGAUGCCAUUUGGUCCCGCCACUGACUAUAUAAAGACGAGAGGACGGCUGGCUGGGGCAGAUCGAACCCUACAAGGACCCGCAGACUUCGGAGCUCGGAGACGCCGCCGCCGACCACGCGCCGUACAUUUCGCGCCGUCACCCGAGCGUCGCCGCCGCCGCCAUGGUAAGAGCAAGUCGCCUGCGCUUUCACCUCAACUCCGGCAUGCGAUCCAAUGCAGGUCUAAGUGUCUAACCCCUGCCGCUCGCUGCGUGUCACUGUCACAGACCUUCAAGCGCCGGAACGGCGGCCGCAGCAAGCAUGGCCGCGGCCACGUCAGGUUCGUCCGCUGCGAGAACUGCGGCAUGUCAGUCCCCAAGGUAAGUUGUUGGAUCAUGCCGCUGAAGUCUGAAACUCUCUCCUCGUGCACGAGCCGCCGCUUCAGUCCGUUGAUCAUGGCGGGGUUUCUUUCGGUGGUUCAGGACAAGGCGAUAUAGAGGUACAAGGUGCAGAACAUAUGGGCAGCGGAAAGCAUCAGGGAUUUCAAGGAGGCGUGCGUCCUUGAAGGUGCUGCUUGGGUUCCUCCUUUGAUUUCUUCUUCCCGGUUCUUACCUGUUGUGUUGGAUCCAAGGAAAAAAAUAGCGCGCUAAUAGCAUAUUUGAAAACUAAACGCUACGUUAUGCAUAUUUCACUCGCUACGGCGCUAUUAACGCUACAUACGGCAAUUUCGCGCUAUAGCGCGUAUCGGCGCUAUUUUUUUGACGCAACGCUUUUUUUUUCAGACGAAUUUUUCAUCAGCCCACUAUUCUUUUAGGCUUUUUGGCCAAGUAACCCUAACCAGUGACGACCAAACCUAUAGCAACGGCCAAACCUACCGAGCGAACCAUAAAUCCCUAACCAAACCUACCGAGCGACGGCGGUAGCGAUGGCCACCGAUGCUUCGCCCGUCUACUCCAGCCAUGGUUGACCGCCUCUUGUCGCCUCCUCCGCUCGCAGCCUCCUCUCCUCUUGCCGCCUUUUGCCACCUCCUCGGUUGUAGCUACUGAAAUCUAGCAUUUGUGUUGCUAUAUGCUGAAAUCUGAACAAUGUUUUGUGACACGCUAUUUUACAAAAUAGUGCGCUAUUAGCACGCUAUUUCGUUCAUAGCGUUUUUUUGAAGGCUGCGCUAUUUUUUUCCUUGGUUGGAUCAGACUGUUGCCUUGCAAGGCUCCAACUUAGAAAUUUUUGUAUCGCACCUAUUGUCUGAUCCUCUUGUGAGUUAGAAAUGCGUGAACUCUUGGUGGGUUUGUGGCAUAUAAUCGACAAGUUUUUUGGUUGCAGGUUACCAUCUGCCCAAGAUUUACAUCAAGGAGCGCUGGUGCAUAGGCUGCGCCAUCCAUAGGAAGGUAAUCGGCGUCCGCUCCCGUGAGGACCGCAAGAACCGCACACCACCGGAACGCUUCGGCCGCAGGGUACGUGCUCCUUGUCUUGAUUGGAAUGGUUAUAGCAUGUAUUUACCUGAUUAGAAUUAUUUCUCAGCCGGUUCGUUGUAUCUUAGGGUCCAACCUUUUGGCAAUUUACCCAUCAUCUACUUCUUGAUGAACUGCCUAGUGUUGAAUACUUGACAAGCAUGUUGUUUUAUUUUAUUGAGAAGUAACUGACAUGCCUCCAUAUCUUUGGACUGCAUGGGUGUCCCGUUUUCAACACAUAGUUCCUGUGUGGGUUGAGUUGGUCCUUAAGGUUGUGAUAUGUUUAUGUGAAGAUAGUGUUAGUGUUGUAUUUACUUUUCAUGUGUUUGCCGUGUAAUGUCUCCCUUGUAUAAGGGGUUUGUAUGCGGUGAAUUGUUCAUACUAGUGGUGUACUGGUAUUCCUUGACAGGAGUCGCUGAAUACAAGCAGUCCUUAGGAGAGAUUUAGCCGUUUGAUUUUUUUUUCUAUCAGAGUUUUCUGUCAUGGCUUGGACUGUCUGGCUAUUCGUUGUAUUUGCAUUAGAACUCUCCUUGUUAAAUUGAAACACACUGAUGGUGUCCUUGGAUGAUCCCUUAGCUAUCAUACUAGUAUAUGCGUGUAAUACUAGAACGGCCGAACUACAUUGUCAGUUGCAUAUAGUACAAUCAAAGAAUUCGUGCUUGUAAGAAGAAAUGGUUGUGCUGGAACAUCUUGUGCGAUUUCUACCAUCUGGUGUGAUGUUGUGGUGCCAUGUGGCUGAUACUGUAGUUUCAUUUUGCAGGGGCCAAGACCUGAGCGCCAAGCUCCUCGUCCUGGUGGCGUCGGCGGGGGUCCUUGACCUGGAGGCGUCAGCGGGGGUCCUGGUGGUGUCGACAGUGGCCCCGGUGGUGCUGGCGGUGGUUUCGGCGCCGGUGGUGCUGGCGGUGGCUUCGGCACCUGUGCUCCAGCUCCCAACGUCGCUGGGGGCUGGCCCCAGAAUUAGCUUCCUAGAGUGCUCUGCUUUGAUCAGUCUAUCGUAAUAUCUAGCAUGAUGCAAGUAUGUUCUGUCUAGGCUUUCAUGGCCUUAUGGUUUCUUACUCUUUGCAUUUUGACCGCCUAGAGUGAACCAUGUGUUGCUCUUUUGUUAUUUUCCUGGUAAACACUCAUGAUAUAGUGCCCCAGAUGUAAACCUUGCCAUAUUUGGAAACCUAUUGCAUGUGGG